GAUAGGGCUUCAAAAUAUUCUAAGUAACACGAAUAUUAUUUUUUAAAUCAUUAAAUUCCAUUAUUCGAGGCACAUGCAGUUCAGAUAUCUUUUUUUAAAAAAUGCAAUUAAAUAAAAUAAAUUAAAAAAUAUAGCAAAAACAUCAAGAAACGUGUCAAAUUUGAACAUGCGCUCUAAAAUACUGCGUAAAUGUAGCAUAAAAAGUUUAGAGUAAAAAUAUUUUUGCAUUUUUAAAAGAUUUUUAAAAUAAAAGAAUUAGAGAAAAAAAAGAAAAAUCUUUGUCGAGGGCCUCUGAUCCAGCAGUCGGCAAAAAAAUAAAAAAAAUAAUCUUUACCCUAGUGUCCCUUAUACUCGACAAAGAUUUUUUUAGAAAAAAUUAAUCUUUGCUACAUGCUCCUCAUUUAGCACUUGGCAAAGAAAUAAAAAAAAUAUAUAAUCUUUGCUGAGCGUCGAAUCGUGGUCACUCGACAAAGACUCCACUUUUACAUAUAGGGUCUGUUUUGUUUUUUGGCCAACUCCU
RNAcentral lists this long non-coding RNA (520 nucleotides) under Sorghum bicolor (sorghum). RNAcentral describes it as "long non-coding RNA (SBIC_LNC000564)". The record is from RNAcentral. Lineage: Eukaryota; Viridiplantae; Streptophyta; Magnoliopsida; Poales; Poaceae.